RNAcentral lists this ribosomal RNA (494 nucleotides) under uncultured bacterium. RNAcentral describes it as "partial 16S ribosomal RNA". It matches the Rfam family "Bacterial small subunit ribosomal RNA", at positions 28 to 507 of the family's 1533-position model. The record is from RNAcentral.
GACGAACGCUGGCGGCGUGCUUAACACAUGCAAGUCGAACGGAAAGGCCUGCUUUCCCUUGUGGAUUGCGGGUACUCGAGUGGCGAACGGGUGAGUAACACGUGAGUGAUCUGCCCCCAACUUGGGUAUAAGCCUGGGAAACUGGGUCUAAUUCCCGAUAGGACUGCAGGGUGGUGCCUGUGGUGGAAAACGAUUUUCUAGUGGUUGGGGAUGAGCUCGCGGCCUAUCAGCUUGUUGGUGGGGUAAUGGCCUACCAAGGCGGCGACGGGUAGCCGGCCUGGGAGGGUGGACGGCCACAUUGGGACUGAGAUACGGCCCAGACUCCUACGGGAAGCAGCAGUGGGGAAUAUUGGACAAUGGGCGGAAGCCUGAUGCAGCGACGCCGCGUGGGGGAUGACGGCCUUCGGGUUGUAAACUCCUUUCGACCGCGAGGAAGCCACCUGGUUGGAAGGGUGGUGACGGUAGUGGUAGAAGAAGCACCGGCUAACUACGUG